UUCUGGAAAUGUGAAUAUAGUUGAAGACGAAGACCGAUGAACAGGUGAAAGAGAGAACACUGCGGCUUGGUUCAAGAACCUUCAAAUUCAGCCUUAGUGUUGAAGAUGAAGACCGUGGGGUCUUCAUUCUUUUGUGAGCAUCAUGUUGGCUGUUUGCUGGAGAUAGUUGAUUUCUACAGUUGCAGGGUAACUUAUUAGGGCAGAGCAAGAGCAGCAUGUGUUUGUUAAAAGA
Long non-coding RNA from Helianthus annuus (common sunflower), 232 nucleotides. RefSeq lists it as uncharacterized. The transcript is spliced from 3 exons. Lineage: Eukaryota; Viridiplantae; Streptophyta; Magnoliopsida; Asterales; Asteraceae. The record is from RefSeq and is a predicted model, not a curated record.